RNAcentral lists this ribosomal RNA (160 nucleotides) under uncultured bacterium. RNAcentral describes it as "partial 16S ribosomal RNA". It matches the Rfam family "Bacterial small subunit ribosomal RNA", at positions 355 to 507 of the family's 1533-position model. The record is from RNAcentral.
UAGGGAAUCUUCCACAAUGGACGAAAGUCUGAUGGAGCAAUGCCGCGUGAGUGAAGAAGGGUUUCGGCUCGUAAAACUCUGUUGUUAAAGAAGAACACCUUUGAGAGUAACUGUUCAAGGGUUGACGGUAUUUAACCAGAAAGCCACGGCUAACUACGUG